Molecule: ribosomal RNA, 502 nt
Filed under: uncultured bacterium
Lineage: Bacteria
Description: bacterial SSU rRNA
Rfam family: Bacterial small subunit ribosomal RNA
Source: RNAcentral
GCGAGUUUGAUCAUGGCUCAGGACGAACGCUGGCGGCGUGCUUAACACAUGCAAGUCGAGCGGAAAGGCCCUUCGGGGUACUCGAGCGGCGAACGGGUGAGUAACACGUGAGCAACCUGCCCUUAGCUUCGGGAUAGCUCCGGGAAACCGGAAUUAAUACCGGAUAUGACCACGAUCGACAUCGGACGUGGUGGAAAGUUUUUCGGCUAGGGAUGGACUCGCGGCCUAUCAGCUAGUUGGUGAGGUAACGGCCCACCAAGGCGACGACGGGUAGCCGGCCUGAGAGGGCGACCGGCCACACUGGGACUGAGACACGGCCCAGACUCCUACGGGAGGCAGCAGUGGGGAAUAUUGCGCAAUGGGCGAAAGCCUGACGCAGCGACGCCGCGUGGGGGAUGAAGGCCUUCGGGUUGUAAACCCCUUUCAGCAGGGACGAAGCGAAAGUGACGGUACCUGCAGAAGAAGCGCCGGCUAACUACGUGCCAGCAGCCGCGGUAAUAAG